RNAcentral lists this ribosomal RNA (478 nucleotides) under uncultured bacterium. RNAcentral's name for it is "SSU rRNA". It matches the Rfam family "Bacterial small subunit ribosomal RNA", at positions 26 to 518 of the family's 1533-position model. The record is from RNAcentral.
AGGACGAACGCUGGCGGCGUGCUUAACACAUGCAAGUCGAACGGAAAGGCCCGCUUGCGGGUACUCGAGUGGCGAACGGGUGAGUAACACGUGGGCAACCUGCCCUCAGCUUCGGGAUAACACUUGGAAACAGGUGCUAAUACCGGAUAAUAACCUUUCAUCGCAUGGUGUGGGGUUCAAAGUUUUUCGGCUGGGGAUGGGCCCGCGGCCUAUCAGCUUGUUGGUGGGGUAAUGGCCUACCAAGGCGACGACGGGUAGCCGGCCUGAGAGGGCGACCGGCCACACUGGGACUGAGACACGGCCCAGACUCCUACGGGAGGCAGCAGUGGGAAUAUUGCGCAAUGGGCGGAAGCCUGACGCAGCGACGCCGCGUGAGGGAUGACGGCCUUCGGGUUGUAAACCGUCUUUCAGCUCUGACGAAGCGCAAGUGACGGUAGGAGCAGAAGAAGCACCGGCCAACGUACGUGCCAGCAGCCGC